CGUGAAAGACAGGCCAGGUGCCCUAACA
RNAcentral lists this non-coding RNA (28 nucleotides) under Rattus norvegicus (Norway rat). The record is from RNAcentral. Lineage: Eukaryota; Metazoa; Chordata; Mammalia; Rodentia; Muridae.